GCAACAUAUGCAUGAUUCCUUUCUGUUUUACUAUGACCAUUGAUCUUUGUUUAGCGUGCAAUCUGCAACCCCUUUCCAACUACUUCCAUGUCAGAGUGCUCUUCAUCUCGUUCCCAAUUGUCUAGCUAUAUGUUUGGAUUUUUGUGAUUGUGAUACAUGCUGAUGUUCAAUGGUCUUCAAACAGUUGCUUCUUUAAAUAUGACUGACGCACAGCUUGCUGAGUAUGGUAAUAUUAUCUGGGAACUUUUACUGUCUGCUUGAUAUUGUUAUUCCUUUGGGUUAUUACUCUGACCAGGCUACCUUUUACCAUAACUUAUGUCAGUGUUGCAAAUUGGACAUCAAUCAUUCCAUAAUUUUAUGCUUUUCUUGUUGAAAUGUUUUUAUGAAUAUGUUUGUUAAAUCAACAUUAACCUGUGUUUCUACUUAUUUUUGUUUAGUUUCUUUUGCCAUGGCCAUCAUAACUGAUUCAAUUGUUGUUUGCAAUUCCUACCAAGUAAUUCUCCAUCCAAUUUCCUGUUAAAAUGGAUGUCUUGAUAUGUGUAAACUAUCCAUUUAGGUGGUGGCCCUAAUUAUAAACAGCAUCAGUUGUAACGGCCUUUAUAACCCAGCAGUUGUAUAAUCCAAAAUAAAUGGGAACUUGUUUCUCUAAAGCUUAUUUGCAGUCUGGUUUAAUGCCACAAUGGUUCAUACGGUUUCCAGUCUUAGAUAUUUAUCUGGUCAUAAUAAAUGCAAUAUGGAACCAUGGUGUUUGUUACCACUGUUCGUCCAUGUUAGAUCCAUAAGUUUGUCUGGUUAGAUUGUGACUGCUGCAAUAAGGUAUUGCACCUUCUGUUAUCGUGUGUAAUAUAAUUUAAUUACUUUCCAUGAAAUUAGUAGGCCAAUCUAAACUAUAGGCAAGUUUGUUCAGAUUUUAAUUGGUGUUAAUUGCUGCAAUAUUUUGUCGCACAUUUUUUGACUGCAUGUCAUGGAUCAUGAAAAAUUUCAGUUAAAUCAGAAAGCAUAAUUUUCACUUUUUUUAUAAUGUUUUUUUAGGGGUUGACUGCCAUAGUAAGACGGUGCUCAUUGCUUAUUUGUGUGCUAUAGCAUAUUGUUUUGAUGUUGUUAUUUUUGUUAUUAUGGUUGCCAUUGUUGCUUCCGAUGGUGGCGGCAGUCCUGCUUUGUAUAUGCAAGUUAUUUGCGCUCUCAUAUGGUUGUGUCUUAAGAAAUAAUGAAUAAAUAUUACCUUUAUAUACAUGUUAUGACAAAUAUUAGUGCUAAAUUUUUGUUAAGAGGAUGCAGAAGCACGUGAGUCUACACUCUUAAAAAUUUUGGAUAUAUUUUUAUCCUGCUGGAUUUGUUCUGUUCGUUCUUUGUACCCUAAAUGUGGAGGUAGCUUAUC
RNAcentral lists this long non-coding RNA (1378 nucleotides) under Phoenix dactylifera (date palm). RNAcentral describes it as "long non-coding RNA (PDAC_LNC010394)". Lineage: Eukaryota; Viridiplantae; Streptophyta; Magnoliopsida; Arecales; Arecaceae. The record is from RNAcentral.